RNAcentral lists this ribosomal RNA (253 nucleotides) under uncultured bacterium. Its description in RNAcentral is "partial 16S ribosomal RNA". It matches the Rfam family "Bacterial small subunit ribosomal RNA", at positions 524 to 776 of the family's 1533-position model. The record is from RNAcentral.
UACGAAGGGGGCUAGCGUUGUUCGGAAUCACUGGGCGUAAAGGGCGCGUAGGCGGCUUUAUAAGUCGGGGGUGAAAGCCUGUGGCUCAACCACAGAAUUGCCUUCGAUACUGUAGAGCUUGAGACCGGAAGAGGUAAGUGGAACUGCGAGUGUAGAGGUGAAAUUCGUAGAUAUUCGCAAGAACACCAGUGGCGGAGGCGGCUUACUGGUCCGGUUCUGACGCUGAGGCGCGAAAGCGUGGGGAGCAAACAGG